Molecule: ribosomal RNA, 467 nt
Filed under: uncultured bacterium
Lineage: Bacteria
Description: partial 16S ribosomal RNA
Rfam family: Bacterial small subunit ribosomal RNA
Source: RNAcentral
GACGAACGCUGGCGGCGUGCUUAACACAUGCAAGUCGAACGGAAAGGCCCUGCUUUUGUGGGGUGCUCGAGUGGCGAACGGGUGAGUAACACGUGAGUAACCUGCCCUUGACUUUGGGAUAACUUCAGGAAACUGGGGCUAAUACCGGAUAGGAGCUCCUGCUGCAUGGUGGGGGUUGGAAAGUUUCGGCGGUUGGGGAUGGACUCGCGGCUUAUCAGCUUGUUGGUGGGGUAGUGGCUUACCAAGGCUUUGACGGGUAGCCGGCCGGAGAGGGUGACCGGCCACAUUGGGACUGAGAUACGGCCCAGACGCCUACGGGAGGAAGCAGUGGAGAAUAUUGCACAAUGGGCGGAAGCCUGAUGCAGCAACGCCGCGUGCAGGAUGACGGCCUUCGGGUUGUAAACCGCUUUCGCCUGUGACGAAGCGUGGGUGACGGUAAUGGGUAAAGAAGCACCGGCUAACUACGU